GAGAGUUGAUCCUGGCUCAGGAUGAACGCUGGCGGCGUGCCUAACACAUGCAAGUCGAGCGAAGCAUACAGGAGGAAGUUUUCGGAUGGAAUCCUGUAUGACUGAGCGGCGGACGGGUGAGUAACGCGUGGGUAACCUGCCUUAUACAGGGGGAUAACAGUUAGAAAUGACUGCUAAUACCGCAUAAGCGCACAGUGCCGCAUGGUACGGUGUGAAAAACUCCGGUGGUAUAAGAUGGACCCGCGUCUGAUUAGCCAGUUGGCGGGUAACGGCCCACCAAAGCGACGAUCAGUAGCCGACCUGAGAGGGUGACCGGCCACAUUGGGACUGAGACACGGCCCAAACUCCUACGGGAGGCAGCAGUGGGGAAUAUUGCACAAUGGGGAAACCCUGAUGCAGCAACGCCGCGUGAGUGAAGAAGUAUUUCGGUAUGUAAAGCUCUAUCAGCAGGGAAGAAGAUGACGGUACCUGACCAAGAAGCCCGGCUAACUACGUG
This 496-nucleotide ribosomal RNA is filed under the name uncultured Lachnospiraceae bacterium. RNAcentral describes it as "bacterial SSU rRNA". It matches the Rfam family "Bacterial small subunit ribosomal RNA", at positions 7 to 507 of the family's 1533-position model. The record is from RNAcentral. Lineage: Bacteria; Bacillati; Bacillota; Clostridia; Lachnospirales; Lachnospiraceae.